GACGAACGCUGGCGGCGUGCUUAACACAUGCAAGUCGAACGGAAAGGCCCUUCGGGGUACUCGAGUGGCGAACGGGUGAGUAACACGUGGGUGAUCUGCCCUGCACUUUGGGAUAAGCCUGGGAAACUGGGUCUAAUACCGAAUAGGACCACGCGCUUCAUGGUGUGUGGUGGAAAGCUUUUGCGGUGUGGGAUGGGCCCGCGGCCUAUCAGCUUGUUGGUGGGGUAAUGGCCUACCAAGGCGACGACGGGUAGCCGGCCUGAGAGGGUGACCGGCCACACUGGGACUGAGAUACGGCCCAGACUCCUACGGGAGGCAGCAGUGGGGAAUAUUGCACAAUGGGCGCAAGCCUGAUGCAGCGACGCCGCGUGAGGGAUGACGGCCUUCGGGUCGUAAACCUCUUUCAAUAGGGACGAAGCGCAAGUGACGGUACCUAUAGAAGAAGCACCGGCCAACUACGUG
Molecule: ribosomal RNA, 462 nt
Filed under: uncultured bacterium
Lineage: Bacteria
Description: partial 16S ribosomal RNA
Rfam family: Bacterial small subunit ribosomal RNA
Source: RNAcentral